RNAcentral lists this ribosomal RNA (484 nucleotides) under uncultured bacterium. RNAcentral's name for it is "partial 16S ribosomal RNA". It matches the Rfam family "Bacterial small subunit ribosomal RNA", at positions 30 to 507 of the family's 1533-position model. The record is from RNAcentral.
AUUGAACGCUAGCGGGAUGCUUUACACAUGCAAGUCGAACGGCAGCGCGGACUUCGGUCUGGCGGCGAGUGGCGAACGGGUGAGUAAUGUAUCGGAACGUGCCCAGUAGCGGGGGAUAACUACGCGAAAGCGUAGCUAAUACCGCAUACGCCCUACGGGGGAAAGCAGGGGAUCGUAAGACCUUGCACUAUUGGAGCGGCCGAUAUCGGAUUAGCUAGUUGGUGAGGUAACGGCUCACCAAGGCGACGAUCCGUAGCUGGUUUGAGAGGACGACCAGCCACACUGGGACUGAGACACGGCCCAGACUCCUACGGGAGGUAGCAGUGGGGAAUUUUGGACAAUGGGGGCAAUCCUGAUCCAGCCAUCCCGCGUGUGCGAUGAAGGCCUUCGGGUUGUAAAGCACUUUUGGCAGGAAAGAAACGUCGCGGGCUAAUACCCCGUGGAACUGACGGUACCUGCAGAAUAAGCACCGGCUAACUACGUG